GUCGCCCUCCUCAACACUGCCUGGGAUCCGUGAGAACCUGGGACCCACACAGGCUCCUAAGGUGUUAAACACGCAUACAAGCCGGCUGACGAAGAGGAAGCCAUGGCAUCGGCAGCUGCAUGCCAGAAGGCGCGGCCACCAGAGCCGGUCAGAAGUGCCUACUUCUGGUUGAGUUUGAUUAAUGGACUGUGAUUCUCUUUGGUUUCUAGAGUAAAACCAUGAAAAGCCGCCCGGAUGUGACAAGUCUCUCAGGAGCGUACAGCUGUCAGGUCCGCCUGCCGCCGUCCUGCAUCACGGAAAGCCAGUAUGGAUGGCCGGGGAGAGGCUUUGGGGCCGGGUGACUGGUCACACCCUCACACUUUCCUACAGCUCUCGUCACGGAAGGCUGCUCUGACCCGCAAUCGGGGAAGCUGGUGCUGCCCGACAGUUGUGAAGUCCUGCAACCAUCAGCAUCCCUGGGGCCACCUUAGCUCUGCAGAGAAAUGACAAGGAUUGCAGGAGGCAGCCUGGAAAUCCCAGACGCAGCAGAAACUGACCAUCCCCCCUUUCUACUCUGCAUCCUGUGGGCGAGCAUCCAGAGCUAAGCAAGCCAGGUCCUCCCCCUGGCGUCCAUCUGCACAGGUUUCCAGGACACCUGAUUGCUCUAAACCUUCAUAAAGGACUUUAAUUGCUACCAAUAAAUACUUCUGAAUGUGGGUUCCCAGACUGGCAGCGUAGUUUGAGAAGUAGGCAAAAAAAAUUCUUUAUCUUUCCU
RNAcentral lists this long non-coding RNA (754 nucleotides) under Equus caballus (horse). RNAcentral describes it as "lncRNA (ENSECAG00000053338.1)". The record is from RNAcentral. Lineage: Eukaryota; Metazoa; Chordata; Mammalia; Perissodactyla; Equidae.